AUUGAACGCUGGCGGCAUGCCUUACACAUGCAAGUCGAACGGUAACAGGUCUUCGGAUGCUGACGAGUGGCGAACGGGUGAGUAAUACAUCGGAACGUGCCCGAUCGUGGGGGAUAACGAGGCGAAAGCUUUGCUAAUACCGCAUACGAUCUACGGAUGAAAGCGGGGGAUCUUCGGACCUCGCGCGGACGGAGCGGCCGAUGGCAGAUUAGGUAGUUGGUGGGAUAAAAGCUUACCAAGCCGACGAUCUGUAGCUGGUCUGAGAGGAUGAUCAGCCACACUGGGACUGAGACACGGCCCAGACUCCUACGGGAGGCAGCAGUGGGGAAUUUUGGACAAUGGGCGAAAGCCUGAUCCAGCCAUGCCGCGUGCAGGAUGAAGGCCUUCGGGUUGUGAACUGCUUUUGUACGGAACGAAAAGCCUCUUUCUAAUAAAGAGGGGUCAUGACGGUACCGUAAGAAUAAGCACCGGCUAACUACGUG
Molecule: ribosomal RNA, 482 nt
Filed under: uncultured bacterium
Lineage: Bacteria
Description: partial 16S ribosomal RNA
Rfam family: Bacterial small subunit ribosomal RNA
Source: RNAcentral